RNAcentral lists this long non-coding RNA (897 nucleotides) under Sorghum bicolor (sorghum). Its description in RNAcentral is "long non-coding RNA (SBIC_LNC001142)". Lineage: Eukaryota; Viridiplantae; Streptophyta; Magnoliopsida; Poales; Poaceae. The record is from RNAcentral.
AGAAACGAUAGUGGCGAGAACGGCGGCUGUAACACCCAAAAAUUGGAUUUCAAUUAAUAAGAUUUAAUUUGAUUUAAUUAAGUAUUUUUGUGAGUAUUUAAUUUAGUGAAUAAAUAAUUUUUGUUGAAAAAAUAAAAUUCAUCAUAUGUUCUAACCUUGAUUGUGCAUUCAUGCUGGGGCAUAUUUUAUUUUGUGCUGAGUGACUUUGGUUUGCAGUUAAUUGUGAUCAAAAUUCUAUUUAGAAAAGGCUUUGGAAAAUAAAAUAGAAAAGAAAACAAAGAAGAAAAAGAAAAAAAAGAGAAGCCUCAGCCAGCGCAGCAGCAGCAGAACUGGCCUAGCCCACUCGCGCGGCCCAGCUCGCGGCGCGGCCCAGCGUUCCCCGCGACCCGCGUCCCUCCCCUCCUCUCUUCUCUCCCUGGACCGCUGACACUCGGGACCCGCCUCUGCACCCGCUGACACCCGCCCCCCACACGUCAGUCCCUUCUCCUUCCUCACGUCGGGGCCGAACAUGACUCUUCACCGAACCCGAUUCCUCGGGAUCCCUUGCCAAAUUCACGUGCUAUGCCCCUAUAAAACUCCUAAACCAACCCCGUAGGCCCCCUUUCGCCCCCAAGCUCCAUAAUCCGAGCCCUAGCCGCCGUUAGAACGCAAACCGGAUAUCGCCGAGCUUGUGCUCAAGCCACCAUCAUCGCUCGCCGUCUCUCCUCCUUCUCGGGUUGCGUCAAGGCCCUAGACAGGUUCGCCGUGAGCUUCUCCAUCCCUAGGUGUGUUCCCCAUGUUUUCUAGCGCUCGGAAUCUCGUGUUUGCCAUCUCCGGCGAGCUUCUGGAUGGCGCCCAUGGCGCGUCGCCGUGGGUGGCCUUGUCCCGGUCGGCCGCCGGCCACUGCCUCCCCUGGUG